AACGCACCUUGCACCUCUUGGUAUUCCGAGAGGUACAUCUGUUUGAGUGUCAUGAAUACCUCAACCUCUGCAUUUUCCUGUAAAGUGUGGCAGCGUUGGAUGCUGAGCGCUGCUGUGAUCACAGCUCGCUCCAAAUGCAUAAGCAAUCUUUGUACUACCCGGAUUGACUUGACGUGAUAAGAUCUUCGUCGAGGAUGCUUUUACAGCAGCCGGAUCGUAUACGAGUCGCUACCAAACCGUGCACCUGGUGCAACACACUUUUAAUUUAGACCUCAGAUCAGAUGGGACUACCCGCUGAACUUAA
RNAcentral lists this unclassified non-coding RNA (304 nucleotides) under uncultured fungus. RNAcentral describes it as "partial contains 5.8S ribosomal RNA, internal transcribed spacer 2, and large subunit ribosomal RNA". The record is from RNAcentral. Lineage: Eukaryota; Fungi.